CCUACGGGAGGCUGCAGUAGGGAAUCUUCCGCAAUGGACGAAAGUCUGACGGAGCAACGCCGCGUGAGCGAUGAAGGCCUUCGGGUCGUAAAGCUCUGUUGUUAGGGAAGAACAAGUAUCGGAGUAACCGCAGGUACCUUGACGGUACCUAACCAGAAAGCCACGGCCAACUACGUGCCAGCAACCGCGGCAAUACGUAGGUUGCAAGCGUUGUCCGGAAUUAAUGGGCGUAAAGACCGUGCAGGCGGUAAAUAACAGCUGAGGUGAAAGCACAUGAAGACACCGUGGAGGAUAAUUGGAAACUGGGGGACUUGAGUACAGAACAGGUGAGGGCAAAUUCACUCGUCGCGACGAAAUGCGUAGAGAUUGUGAGGAGCACCAGCGGCGACGGCAGCUAUAUGAUCUGUAACUGAAGCUGCGGCACGAACACGUGGGGUGCCAACAGGAUUAGGUCCCUUAGCAGUA
Molecule: ribosomal RNA, 465 nt
Filed under: uncultured Paucisalibacillus sp.
Lineage: Bacteria; Bacillati; Bacillota; Bacilli; Caryophanales; Bacillaceae
Description: bacterial SSU rRNA
Rfam family: Bacterial small subunit ribosomal RNA
Source: RNAcentral